Molecule: non-coding RNA, 74 nt
Organism: Danionella cerebrum
Lineage: Eukaryota; Metazoa; Chordata; Actinopteri; Cypriniformes; Danionidae
Source: the annotation of a GenBank genome assembly
GUUCACCAUGGUUCAAUCAGUAGAGCAUUGUGGUAGAAACGCAAAGAUCAUGGAUUCAAACCCCACUGAAAACA